This 468-nucleotide ribosomal RNA is filed under the name uncultured bacterium. RNAcentral's name for it is "partial 16S ribosomal RNA". It matches the Rfam family "Bacterial small subunit ribosomal RNA", at positions 28 to 507 of the family's 1533-position model. The record is from RNAcentral.
GACGAACGCUGGCGGCGUGCUUAACACAUGCAAGUCGAACGGAAAGGCCCUGCUUUUGUGGGGUGCUCGAGUGGCGAACGGGUGAGUAACACGUGAGUAACCUGCCCUUGACUUUGGGAUAACUUCAGGAAACUGGGGCUAAUACCGGAUAGGAGCUCCUGCUGCAUGGUGGGGGUUGGAAAGUUUCGGCGGUUGGGGAUGGACUCGCGGCUUAUCAGCUUGUUGGUGGGGUAGUGGCUUACCAAGGCUUUGACGGGUAGCCGGCCUGAGAGGGUGACCGGCCACAUUGGGACUGAGAUACGGCCCAGACUCCUACGGGGGGCAGCAGUGGGGAAUAUUGCACAAUGGGCGGAAGCCUGAUGCAGCAACGCCGCGUGCGGGAUGACGGCCUUCGGGUUGUAAAACGCUUUCGCCUGUGACGAAGCGUGAGUGACGGUAAUGGGUAAAGAAGCACCGGCUAACUACGUG